UGUGUUUAGCAGUCUGUACCAGGAGGAGACGUCUGGAGAGGCGGUGGCAAUUACUGGAGAAGACCUUUCAAGGGGAAGUAACAGUUAAAAGAGGGGCAACCUGAGAGGGAGUGAGAGUUCCUGGGAACGAGACAUCAAGAUAGUUAUCUGUAGAUCCCUCACUAUCACAACGAACCAACUAGGAGUAACGUUAUAACCACAAAAAUACCCCAAAAUAUAAAAAAAAAACAUGAAAAAAACAACGUCCUAGAAGGUGCUUUUUGUUGAUUAUUUCCUGAGUAUAAGAAGAACCUUUAUCUUUUAUUAACAGAAAAUUCCAGCUUUGUGAUGAAGACACUCCUGCCCGUGAUAUUCGUCCUGAAUGCUUUGUCAAGUUUGUCCCGUGGCAUCGUGGUCACCCAGGAUAAAGGAUUUGUGUUGCAUUCCGGAUCGCGGGUGAACAUCUCCUGCAAGCAUACCGGCGACGGCAGCUACAACAUGCUCUGGUACCAACAGAAACCGGGAAAGGGACUGGUGCUCAUUGCCAUAUCGGUAGCAACAGGAGAUUCUACGGUGGAGAAAGAUUUCAAGGACUCCUGGACUAUGGACAGAGCAAGCAACGAGGACUCUGUUCUUGGAAGGAAAGCUGAGUUGACGACUGAGGACUCGGCCGUGUAUUUCUGCGCAGCUAGUUUACACAGCCAUAGAACUCUGAGCGACGGCCAACACAAAACAUCAGCAAUGGAAGUCAUCAGUGAGGGCAUGAAAUGCGAUAGAAAUGCUGCAGGGGGCGCCGUGCCUCUAAUGUUUUAUUUUCGCUUCAUUGAGCCAUUUCCAGGAGUAAAGCUUGCGUCUGGUAUAAGAACAUAG
Molecule: non-coding RNA, 849 nt
Organism: Spea bombifrons (plains spadefoot toad)
Lineage: Eukaryota; Metazoa; Chordata; Amphibia; Anura; Pelobatidae
Source: the annotation of a RefSeq genome assembly